Long non-coding RNA from Dromiciops gliroides (monito del monte), 251 nucleotides. RefSeq lists it as uncharacterized. The transcript has 3 exons. NCBI's taxonomy places the organism in Eukaryota, Metazoa, Chordata, Mammalia, Microbiotheria, Microbiotheriidae. The record is from RefSeq and is a predicted model, not a curated record.
CCUACCCAAUGGGCUCCUAACAUUUCAAACUCACUGCUUUGGCUUUCUAUAUGUUAUUUUAACUUUCACUUUAGGAAGACACAGAAUAUACCCCCACUCUCCUUCCCUAAGUGCCAAGGUGAAGAAGAGAAGAUCACAAUGGAUCCCCAGGUGGGAAAUAUGAUGAGGAAUAUCAUUGGCCUAUGGACAACGUCAUAUUUCUUGUCUACAUAUUACUUAUUUAUUUACAGAAAACGUUUUGAGAAACGGGC